This is a long non-coding RNA of Heterocephalus glaber (naked mole-rat), 1446 nucleotides long. The record is from Ensembl. Lineage: Eukaryota; Metazoa; Chordata; Mammalia; Rodentia; Bathyergidae.
GGGGCGGCGGCGCCGGUCAGCUCCGCAGCAGAGGCCCUGCUCUGCGCUCCGGCACACACACCUUCUGCUUUCUGUUUCUGUAUUUACCAGGAUCUCACUUCUGUACCUCCUCAGAAGAAAAAGGAAGAAAACUGCUCCAGUCUUCAGCUGUGUAAGCCUUCAGAGAGAUAAACAGGGCUGCCCCUUCCUCCUCUGUAAAGACGUGGGAAGCCAGGAAUGGCGCGCAUGUGAAUGAAUCCACCUGCUCUGAUGCUGCAGGCAGUGAGGUUCUGAGUGUGAAUCCUGGGAAAUGGCGUCCAGGCAGAGGCCACGUGGGCGAGGGCCACUCUGUCGCUCUGAGGAGCUCGUGAAAGCUACUGUGUGAAUGAUGUGGCUCCCCCUCCACGCGGGAAACUGUGAGGGGCGCCUGACCACGCCGUGACAAACCAGGUGGUGGUGGGAGGCACCGUCCAGGUGUGUUGCCAUGGUGUCAGCCUGUGUCCUGCACACCAAGAAGUCACCAGAGGGCAUUCUGCUCCUUGAGGAGGUGCGCCUGUGGUCGGCACUGUGCUCUGGGCGCUUUAACUUCAUGAUUCAAGCACGGCCCCUCUUCCUUCCCUCUGAGCCUGCCUCACACAUUCACUGCACACAAAGGAUUGCCCCUAGGAGGCUGAGGCAGGAGGACUGCAAGUUGGAGUCUAGCUUGUGCAACUUAUCCACCAGGUCACUCAAGUGAGAACUACAACCUUGGGAAAUGGACUGAGAUUGUCCACCUCCUGCCCUGUGGACUUCGCAGCAAUCUGAAAGGAAUGGUGUGCUUUACCUCUGGCCUAAACACAGAAAUCAUUUCCCUUUCCUUGCCAAUUGCUGUUGUUGCUUUUAUUUUUCUUCUGCUGAGUGAUAACUUUGGGAAAAGGGAACAAACAGGGCAAUUUCUGAUCUUAUUGGUUAAGUGGUGACAAGAAUUUAAGAGAAAGUGCGACCUUUGUACUCCAUUCUAUGCCUUCCAUUCCCACCUGAAACAUAAGAAAAAAUUUAUACGUGACCAUUUAUCAUUUCCACACUUUGACAAACCCUUUCCAUACUUUUAUUACCAAAACACUGUGAAGUGUACAAAAUGUACAUGAUAUAGAGAAGGUUUUAUGUCGCUUUCCAAACCGACUCCAUUGCAAGAGAACAGAGCAGGCUGUCGGCCAAGAUAUAUCUGUGCAAAGCCUGGUGUAACACGCAAUCUAUUCCAGAUUCUCCCUCUGCCCAACCCGCAGUUGUUUGACAAGUAGACAGAUUUUUAUUAUUUGAACUGGAAAUGUCCUUUUGAUAAAUUUGUACACAUUUAAGCUUUACUUACAGAAGGCAUCUGCUUCAAGUAUUUUCCAGGAAAAGUGAUAUGUUGAAUCUCAGAAAGGUCUUUUCCACUGGUAAUAUUUAUCAAAAAGUAAAUCACAAUAAAGUCGUGUAUUAAUGGCC